GAUGAAGAACGCAGCAAAAUGCGAUAAGUAGUGUGAAUUGCAGAAUUCAGUGAAUCAUCGAAUCUUUGAACGCUCAUUGCGCCCCUUGGUAUUCCAUGGGGCAUGCCUGUUCGAGCGUCAUUGACACCCUCAAGCUCUGCUUGGUGUUGGGCCGUUGUCGUUUCCUCGCCCCCCCCGGGCGACACAGCGACACCCCUCAAAGUCAUUGGCGGCUUUCCUGCCCAGCUUUCCCGCGCAGCAGUUCGCGAUUCGGAGACCACUUGGCAGGUUGGCAUCCAUCAAGCUGACCCCUCACGCUUGACCUCGGAUCAGGUAGGGACUACCCGCUGAACUUAAGCAUAUCAAUAAGCGGAGGA
RNAcentral lists this unclassified non-coding RNA (356 nucleotides) under soil metagenome. RNAcentral describes it as "partial contains 5.8S ribosomal RNA, internal transcribed spacer 2, and large subunit ribosomal RNA". The stretch from base 1 to 120 matches the Rfam family "5.8S ribosomal RNA", at positions 35 to 154 of the family's 154-position model. The record is from RNAcentral.